RNAcentral lists this ribosomal RNA (253 nucleotides) under uncultured bacterium. RNAcentral's name for it is "partial 16S ribosomal RNA". It matches the Rfam family "Bacterial small subunit ribosomal RNA", at positions 524 to 776 of the family's 1533-position model. The record is from RNAcentral.
UACGGAGGGUGCAAGCGUUAAUCGGAAUUACUGGGCGUAAAGCGUGCGUAGGCGGCUGAUUAAGUCGGAUGUGAAAGCCCUGGGCUUAACCUGGGAAUGGCAUUCGAAACUGGUCAGCUAGAGUCUGAUAGAGGGUAGCGGAAUUCCGGGUGUAGCGGUGAAAUGCGUAGAGAUCCGGAGGAACAUCUGUGGCGAAGGCGGCUACCUGGAUUAAGACUGACGCUGAGGCACGAAAGCGUGGGGAGCAAACAGG